GAGAUCCCUCCGUCCGAAAAUACUUGUCAUAAAAAUGAAUAAAAAGAGAUGUAUCUAGAGCUAAAAUACAUCUAGAUACAUCCCCUUUUGUUUAUUUUGAUGACAAGUAUUUCCGGACGGAGGGAAUACCAU
Molecule: non-coding RNA, 132 nt
Organism: Triticum aestivum (bread wheat)
Lineage: Eukaryota; Viridiplantae; Streptophyta; Magnoliopsida; Poales; Poaceae
Source: Rfam